Molecule: ribosomal RNA, 253 nt
Filed under: uncultured bacterium
Lineage: Bacteria
Description: partial 16S ribosomal RNA
Rfam family: Bacterial small subunit ribosomal RNA
Source: RNAcentral
UACGGAGGGUGCAAGCGUUAAUCGGAAUUACUGGGCGUAAAGCGUACGCAGGUGGCUGAGUCAGUCGAUUGUGAAAGCCCUGGGCUUAACCUGGGAAUUGCAGUCGAUACUACUCAGCUAGAGUAUGGGAGAGGGUAGUGGAAUUCCCGGUGUAGCGGUGAAAUGCGUAGAUAUCGGGAGGAACAUCAGUGGCGAAGGCGGCUACCUGGCCCAAUACUGACACUCAGGUGCGACAGCGUGGGGAGCAAACAGG